This is a long non-coding RNA of Onychostoma macrolepis, 1052 nucleotides long. RefSeq lists it as uncharacterized. The record is from RefSeq and is a predicted model, not a curated record. NCBI's taxonomy places the organism in Eukaryota, Metazoa, Chordata, Actinopteri, Cypriniformes, Cyprinidae. The transcript is spliced from 3 exons.
AAAAAAAAUGACAUCUCUUCCGGUGGUGGAAGAGUUCCCAAAAAUUCCUGGCAGCAUUAAUAUAAGGAGAUGAUCUGCCACUACAGGAAAAAUGUGGCCAAUGAAAUUUUGCUGGCAUCAGUGUGAAGAGAGGAGUACUGCUCUGUGUGUGGAGAAAAAGAAAGAGCCCAAACAGAGGAGCAAUGCAUCUGGAUUCAAUGUGAAUUAUGCCAGAGGUAGUUUCAUGUUCAGUGCCUCAACAUUAAUCUGCUACCAGAAGAACAAGCAUGGAUUUGUGAUGUGUGUUUGAAAGCUAUUUAGUUAGAGGAGCUGAUGCUGAAAGUGUGUUUAAAUUGUAAGAAAAUUGUUUUGCACUGAUAAGGGACAACGCAAACUAUGAAAACAUAUUUUAUUACAUAAACAGUUAAUACAUAGAAAAUACUUAAAUUUUCGAUUCAUCAAAAUAUCCACCAUUAGCAGCUGAAAACCUGGGCCAAGUUUAAACCAGUAACCAGGCAUCACAGCUGGCAAAGGGGCAUGUCUGACUUUGACAUGUAUAUAUUGCCAUUAUUAUGUAAUCAAAAUGAAAAUUAUUAUUGCUGGUCUUCAAUGAUAAUGUCAAGUUACUUUAAUGUACAGUAUUUGCACCAACAAAAAAUUAUAAGGAUUUAUUCUGAUGUCAUCCAAUGGGUUGGUUAGGCUGCAUUAAUUAGAUCAACUGGAACCGGGAACACUCCCCAUAACACACGAUGUACUCGUUACAUCGUAAGUUGAAUGGCAUCUACGCUAAUAUUUGUCUGUUUCUUUCUUAUUCUGUUUCUCAGUCCGUAUCCGAUCAGAUGGUGGAACAGCACCAAGAGAUGAUGUCUACAGCCCUGAUCGUCAGCGGAGACCAGCACACCCAGAUGACCCCCAGAGAUAUAUCCCCAGAUAUAUCAACCAAAAAUAACAAAAUAACUAAAAUAUAAUAAAAUACCUAACUACAUAAUACUACUAUUGUUAGAAAUUGCAACAAAAUUAAAAUAGAAAUAGAAACUUUUGAACUGCGGGUUUCGUCUGGUCAGAGGAGAACU